AGAAAAUCCAGUUUCAUAGACACAAGCCAAAGUCUGAGGCCAAAAGUUCAACUUCGUCUUCUACUAAGAAAAAUAUUUUUGGAUCCACGGUUGGCUGAAUCUGUGAAUGUGGAACUUGUGGAUACAGAAGGCUGACUGUACUGCUUUCUUGUGUUAUCAUAGCACCCUCUGUUCCUUGAUUCAGUGGAAGAGCAGUGAUUCGACAAGAGUCAUCGAUAAACAGAGUGAAGGUCAUGCUCCGAUAGAGAAGACUGAAACUAAAUAAGGGUUGAAUAACUCUGACUUCACACAGUGAGUUGGCGAUGAUGCUUUCUUUGUUCUUGUGACAAUAAACACAGCUU
Lagenorhynchus albirostris (white-beaked dolphin) is the source of this 341-nucleotide long non-coding RNA. RefSeq lists it as uncharacterized. The record is from RefSeq and is a predicted model, not a curated record. The transcript is spliced from 3 exons. NCBI's taxonomy places the organism in Eukaryota, Metazoa, Chordata, Mammalia, Artiodactyla, Delphinidae.